UACGUAGGUGACAAGCGUUAUCCGGAUUUAUUGGGCGUAAAGCGCACGCAGGCGGCUCUUCAAGUCUGACGUGAAAUCUCUCGGCUUAACCGGGAGCGGUCGUUGGAAACUGAAGGGCUUGAGGCGAUGAGAGGGGUGUGGAAUUCCCGGUGUAGUGGUGGAAUGCGUAGAUAUUGGGAAGAACACCUGAGGCGAAGGCGGGUUGCUGGGCUGAUACUGACGCUGAGGCGCGAAAGCCAGGGGAGCAAACGGG
Molecule: ribosomal RNA, 253 nt
Filed under: uncultured bacterium
Lineage: Bacteria
Description: partial 16S ribosomal RNA
Rfam family: Bacterial small subunit ribosomal RNA
Source: RNAcentral